RNAcentral lists this ribosomal RNA (479 nucleotides) under uncultured bacterium. RNAcentral's name for it is "partial 16S ribosomal RNA". It matches the Rfam family "Bacterial small subunit ribosomal RNA", at positions 28 to 523 of the family's 1533-position model. The record is from RNAcentral.
GACGAACGCUGGCGGCGUGCUUAGCACAUGCAAGUCGAACGCUGAAGCCCUUCGGGGUGGAUGAGUGGCGAACGGGUGAGUAACACGUGGGUAAUCUGCCCUGCACUCUGGGAUAAGCCUUGGAAACGGGGUCUAAUACCGGAUAGGACACAUCGCCGCAUGGUGUGUGUGGAAAGUUCUGGCGGUGCAGGUUGAGCUCGCGGCCUAUGAGCUUGUUGGUGGGGUGAUGGCCUACCAAGGCGACGACGGGUAGCCGGCCUGAGAGGGUGACCGGGCACACGGGCACUGGGACACGGACCAGACGCCGUCGGGAGGCAGCAGUGGGGUAUCUAGCGCAAUGGGCGAAAGCCUGACGCAGCAACGACGCGUGGGGGAGGACGGCCUUCGGGUUGUAAACCUCUUUCGACCGGGACGAAGGAUUCGUUUGACGGUACCGGUAGAGGAAGCACCGGAUAACUACGUGCCAGCCGCCGCUGUAA